AGUGAACGCUGGCGGUAGGCCUAACACAUGCAAGUCGAACGGCAGCACAGUAAGAGCUUGCUCUUACGGGUGGCGAGUGGCGGACGGGUGAGGAAUACAUCGGAAUCUACUUUUUCGUGGGGGAUAACGUAGGGAAACUUACGCUAAUACCGCAUACGACCUACGGGUGAAAGCAGGGGAUCUUCGGACCUUUCGCGAUUGAAUGAGCCGAUGUCGGAUUAGCUAGUUGGCGGGGUAAAGGCCCACCAAGGCGACGAUCCGUAGCUGGUCUGAGAGGAUGAUCGGCCACACUGGAACUGAGACACGGACCAUACUCCUGAGGGAGGCAGCAGUGGGGAAUAUUGGACAAUGGGCGCAAGCCUGAUCCAGCCAUACCGCGUGGGUGAAGAAGGCCUUCGGGUUGUAAAGCCCUUUUGUUGGGAAAGAAAAGCAGCAGGUUGAUACCCCGCUGUUCUGACGGUACCCAAAGAAUAAGCACCGGCUAACUUCGCG
This 492-nucleotide ribosomal RNA is filed under the name uncultured bacterium. RNAcentral's name for it is "partial 16S ribosomal RNA". It matches the Rfam family "Bacterial small subunit ribosomal RNA", at positions 29 to 507 of the family's 1533-position model. The record is from RNAcentral.